GUCAGGGUCCGGGUCAUGGUCAGGGUCAGGGCAGGGUAAUGGUAAUGGUCAGGGUAAUGGUCCGGGUCAGGGUCCGGGUCAUGGUCAGGGUCAGGGCAGGGUAAUGGUAAUGGUCAGGGUAAUGGUCCGGGUCAGGGCAGGGUAAUGGUCAGGGUCAUGGUCCGGGUCAGGGCAGGGCAGGGUAAUGGUCAGGGUCAGGGUCAGGGCAGGGUUAGGGUCAGGGUAAUGGUCAGGGUAAUGGUCAGGGUAAUGUUCAGGGUUAGGGUCAGGGUAAUGGUCAGGGUAAUGGUCAGGGUCAGGGUAAUGGUCAGGGUAAUGGUCAGGGUUAGGGUCAGGGUUAGGGUCAGGGUAAUGGUCAGGGUAAUGGUCAGGGUCAUGGUAAUGGUCAGGGUCAUGGUAAUGGUCAGGGUAGGCUGGCAGAGGAGAAGGACUUGCUAGCUCCAUGUCAGUCACACUAACAAGUGCUACUGGCCCCAAGUGGUUAGCUGAUUAUGGCCUUUGUCCUAACAUAUUCCAUCCAUGCUAUACACAUGUUCAG
Oncorhynchus tshawytscha (Chinook salmon) is the source of this 538-nucleotide long non-coding RNA. The record is from Ensembl. Lineage: Eukaryota; Metazoa; Chordata; Actinopteri; Salmoniformes; Salmonidae.